AUACAUGCAGUCGAGCGAGCAAAGUUAAAGGAAUACUUCGGUAGGAAUUUAAUAGCGCGAGCGGCGGAUGGGUGAGUAACACGUGGGCAACCUGCCCUUUAGCUUGGGAUACCACUUGGAAACAGGUGCUAAUACCAAAUAAGAAGUAAGAGCGCAUGCUCAAGCUAUGAAAGGCGGCUUUCGAGCUGUCACUAAAGGAUGGGCCCGCGGUGCAUUAGCUAGUUGGUAAGGUAACGGCUUACCAAGGCAAUGAUGCAUAGCCGAGUUGAGAGACUGAUCGGCCACAUUGGGACUGAGACACGGCCCAAACUCCUACGGGAGGCAGCAGUAGGGAAUCUUCCACAAUGGACGCAAGUCUGAUGGAGCAACGCCGCGUGAGUGAAGAAGGUUUUCGGAUCGUAAAGCUCUGUUGUUGGUGAAGAAGGACAUGGGUAGUAACUGAUCUAUGUUUGACGGUAAUCAACCAGAAAGUCACGGCUAACUACGUGCCAGCAGCCGCGGUAAUACGUAGGUGGCAAGCGUUGUCCGGAUUUAUUGGGCGUAAAGCGAACGCAGGCGGGAGAACAAGUCAGCUGUGAAAGCCCUCGGCUUAACCGAGGAACGGCAACUGAAACUGUUUUUCUUGAGUGCAGAAGAGGAGAGUGGAACUCCAUGUGUAGCGGUGAAAUGCGUAGAUAUAUGGAAGAACACCAGUGGCGAAGGCGGCUCUCUGGUCUGUAACUGACGCUGAGGUUCGAAAGCAUGGGUAGCGAACAGGAUUAGAUACCCUGGUAGUCCAUGCCGUAAACGAUGAGUGCUAAGUGUUGGGAGGUUUCCGCCUCUCAGUGCUGCAGCUAACGCAUUAAGCACUCCGCCUGGGGAGUACGACCGCAAGGUUAAAACUCAAAGGAAUUGACGGGGGCCCGCACAAGCGGUGGAGCAUGUGGUUUAAUUCGAAGCAACGCGAAGAACCUUACCAGGUCUUGACAUCUAGUGCCAACCCUAGAGAUAGGGUGUUUCCUUCGGGAACACUAAG
RNAcentral lists this ribosomal RNA (1015 nucleotides) under Lactobacillus sp. AmmhmR15. Its description in RNAcentral is "bacterial SSU rRNA". It matches the Rfam family "Bacterial small subunit ribosomal RNA", at positions 51 to 1033 of the family's 1533-position model. The record is from RNAcentral. Lineage: Bacteria; Bacillati; Bacillota; Bacilli; Lactobacillales; Lactobacillaceae.